This 505-nucleotide long non-coding RNA is filed under the name Homo sapiens (human). Its description in RNAcentral is "HSALNT0042671". The record is from RNAcentral. Lineage: Eukaryota; Metazoa; Chordata; Mammalia; Primates; Hominidae.
UGGAUGAUCUGUUCAUUGAUGAAAAUCAUUAUAGCCCUGAUUAAGAGCAUCUUGAAUCUGUUGGAGAUAACUGAUGCUGGAGCCAAGCAGACAAAGACAGAGUUGUUCCUAAAGAAAGCCAAAACUAUCCAAAUCCCAUCUAAUAUAGAUGAAACCAACCAGUUUGUUACUUGCGUUAGGACUGGGGAGAGGAAUUACUUGAUGAGUUUUGAAGGUUCAAAAUCAGAAGUGUAUGCUGAUGACUAACUGAAUGAUAAACACUUUUAUUAAUUAAGGGACAGAACUCAAAAUCACUGCCAAAAUUUAAGUUUUUAAAAGCAGUUACAGAGAAUCAGGAUGCACAGCUGAGAAAUUAAAAUUAAUAUGGUUAAGGACAAAAACAACUGUUAUCAAGUUAUUUGCAAUUUAGUACAAUUGUCUGGAAAGGGGUUUGGUGUCUGCAGCUGCCUUGAGCAUAUCAAUUGUGACAUUAUAUGUGGAUAAAAUAUUCAUGAUUAAAGGCAAG